Molecule: long non-coding RNA, 566 nt
Filed under: Lupinus angustifolius (narrow-leaved blue lupine)
Lineage: Eukaryota; Viridiplantae; Streptophyta; Magnoliopsida; Fabales; Fabaceae
Description: long non-coding RNA (LANG_LNC002917)
Source: RNAcentral
CCAUGACUUAUGUGAUAACCAACUCACAUAGGGUGAUAAUUAAAUAUCAUCAUUAAACUUGAACAGAGCCUAAUAAGUCCAAUUUCCCUCGUGCAUCACUAAUUCACUACACUUAUAAAUCCCCAUCUAUAGAUAAACAUGCCUUCACAAUCACCACCAAACUAUAAUAGCUAGCUGGAAACUUCACCUCUCCACACCACCAUUUCACCGUUUUCUCCAGCCACCAAGCAUUUUAUUAGCUGCUACAUCAUUUUCAGAAGCACCAACACAAGGAACAAUUUCAGAAUAGUGAUGAAGCAAGAAGACAAUAGCAGCUUGAACAAUAGGCAUGUUUGUGAACCAUUUAGGUCCUUUGGGAGUAGAUGUUGUAGGCUGGCUAAGGAGCAUAGGGCAAGGUUCUAUAUCGUGAGGAGGUGCAUCACAAUGCUUGUUUGUUGGAAGGAUUAUACUGAUCCUUGAAGGGAAACAUAGUAAAAUGAGUUCUCAUAAUAAAUGUUUUUUUUUCAUGCUCUGUAUGAUGGUAUUGCAUUUGUGUAUGUAUUAGGAUAGAACUCUGGUGAGGGAAG